Molecule: ribosomal RNA, 469 nt
Filed under: uncultured bacterium
Lineage: Bacteria
Description: partial 16S ribosomal RNA
Rfam family: Bacterial small subunit ribosomal RNA
Source: RNAcentral
GACGAACGCUGGCCGCGUGCUUAACACAUGCAAGUCGAACGGAAAGGCCAUGCUUGCAGGGUGCUCGAGUGGCGAACGGGUGAGUAACACGUGGGUGAUCUGCCCCUUACUUUGGGAUAAGCCUGGGAAACUGGGUCUAAUACUGGAUAGGACCAUGCUGUAGGUGGUGUGGUGGAAAGAUUAGUUUCGGUAAGGGAUGAGCUCGCGGCCUAUCAGCUUGUUGGUGGGGUAAUGGCCUACCAAGGCGUCGACGGGUAGCCGGCCUGAGAGGGUGGACGGCCACAUUGAGACUGAGAUACGGCCCAGACUCCUACGGGAGGCAGCAGUGGGGAAUAUUGCACAAUGAGGGCAAGCCUGAUGCAGCGACGCCGCGUGGGGGAUGACGGCCUUCGGGUUGUAAACUCCUUUCAGCCAUGACGAAGCCCUUGUGGUGACGGUAGUGGUAGAAGAAGCACCGGCUAACUACGUG